RNAcentral lists this microRNA precursor (67 nucleotides) under Bombyx mori (domestic silkworm). Its description in RNAcentral is "mir-2774 microRNA precursor family". It matches the Rfam family "mir-2774 microRNA precursor family". The record is from Rfam by way of RNAcentral. Lineage: Eukaryota; Metazoa; Arthropoda; Insecta; Lepidoptera; Bombycidae.
ACUAAAUUCAGACCGUCGGUCUACCGAGCAAUUGCAGACGCUCGGUGGAAGAUUUUUCCUUGGUCAU